CAGAUUUAUAGAUUUUUGCUGUUGCUUUAAAAAGGUUUGACAUUAUCAAAUAACCUUUUAAUAUUAAACACCACCUGAGUACAUACAAGAUGCUUCUAUUCCUUGGGCAAAAUAAGCUAAAAAGAAGACAUUUACCAUGUUCUAAAAAGUCAAAAACUGUAAAUGCAGCACUAUUGAACUUGCAAAGAUAUUGGGAACUAUUUAUUGAAUAGUCAACAGGGUCACAAGAACAUGUUACAAAAAAGAGGAAGCAAAUUAACAACCAAAGGUUUGAGAAGAGUCAAACAUGAAGCUACCAGGAAGCCAUUCUACUUCACUGCUGUCAUAUUCCAGAGCGGCACCCUUCCUGGAGUUCUCAGAUACUUUUAAAACCUGCAACAGAGUUAUUACGUUGCAGCUGCUCCCGAGUCCUGAGAUUAUGGUUGUCCCAAUGAAAGGAGCCAUGAUGAUGGAAAAGCAGCGUUUAAGGCAUAAGUGCUUAAAGAAGAGUGCAGUCUGAAACACCAAACCCGAUGAGGACAACAAAGGCACAUCCAAAAAAAUCCACUGGAUUGAGUGGCAGAUUGAGAAAAUCAACUGUGGAAAGCGAUGCAGAGUGGAUCAUAACAUAAAUUACCUCCUCAUGUAUAAUGGAUAUGCUCAGGGGCUGUGGAUUGCUUGCCAGCUUCAAAUCGCUUUCCCCCCCCCCAUUUGUGUCUACCGGUCCAUUG
This is a long non-coding RNA of Girardinichthys multiradiatus, 710 nucleotides long. RefSeq lists it as uncharacterized. The transcript is spliced from 4 exons. The record is from RefSeq and is a predicted model, not a curated record. Lineage: Eukaryota; Metazoa; Chordata; Actinopteri; Cyprinodontiformes; Goodeidae.